Long non-coding RNA from Gasterosteus aculeatus aculeatus (three-spined stickleback), 6347 nucleotides. NCBI's taxonomy places the organism in Eukaryota, Metazoa, Chordata, Actinopteri, Perciformes, Gasterosteidae. The record is from Ensembl.
GCACCUCUUUACUCAAAGGGGCACAAUUCCAAAUCCAAAGCACAUUUAAUAUUAAGUGAUCCCACACAUGGAAGGGAUAAUGAGAACAGCUGAGCUAGUGGCUAAUGGUGCAAUCAGAACAAACAAUAGCAACAAUGCUGAGUGAGCCAACCACGUGAUCCUGGAGGGGACACCACGAUACGCUGUAAGUGCAGAUGAGAGGGACUGCAUUCUCUGCUCACUCAGGUAGCCAUUACUCCAUUAUAUUUACAUUUGAAAAAAAUGUUUUCUGUUUCAUCGAUGCUAUGAAUAUCAAGUACAGCACAAUUUGGUUUUAGUAAAAUUAGGUCCACAAUUGAGUUUACGCUAAGGUAUGUGAUGAUACUGAGAGGUAUUUACUUAUUUUUUCAGUUAUUAAUUCCUGAACUGACUGCCAGCUGUCCUAUCGUUGCCUGCUGGAAAUCUUAAACUUAACCAGUUUAGGGAGACACUGCAUUCACUGAUCUAAUCCUUCAUAUUUCCUCUAAGAUCACUUCACUACACCUAAGCGACAAAGGGCUUUCCUAUACCUGUAACAAAUCAGUGUGUGUCUAGUUGACAUUCCCCUGCCCACACACACAUACACAAAUACACACGUGCUGGUUCACCUUCUCUGGCACCACAAAGUCUCAGUGUGAAAGGUGGGAUAAUUAAUGCCAUUAAACAUGAUGAUUAGCUGCAAUAGCAUCAUUGACGAUGUUUUUAUAAUAAAAUGAUGGAUUAUAUUCAUUAGUGCAGCAGUUUGUCACUGCACGAAGAAUUUAAUUUUUAAAAACAAUGGGAACCAAUUACUUCACACCUGCAGUACAACCAACGGAUGACUACAUUUCUGAAAGUAAUAAUGUUAUGAUUGGAAAAGUUUUACUUCUUAAACCAGCAUUUAAUUAUUUUUUGGCCACCUGGGGGAAGAAGAAACCAGAUUCAAGUGCUAAUUCUCUGUUGGUGUCCCUACGGUCAACCCCUCUCAUGUUUUUAUAUCAUCAUUUCUAUUGUAAAAUAUUACAAACAAACAAGGAUUUUUUUUAUAAUUAUUCAUCUCCAUUUUUAAUACACAUUUUACAUUCAGUAAUUGUCUCUGUUAGUUUUUAAUGGUGGAUUUGGAUGCCUACCUGAUGAAAACGUUUUUUUUUAGAUCAAAUCAUUCAUAAAACUAAAAACACAGCACGGUAAAAGUCCGGCAUUAAAAUGCUUACUUCGAGUGAAAAAAGAAAGAGGCAACUUUAGCAUAAUUUACUUAAAUCUGAUUAUUCAUGUUUCUUUAAGUCGGAGCUUCCCAUUUUGAAUUGAUGCUGGAGGGUUUAAUGAAUAAUAAAGGCACCAAAUCAAGUCAAUUCUACAUCUGCAAUGUAACCCGUCCCUCUCACACAUAGUACUACAAUGUUUUCAUGUGAAGUAAAAGUAACCAGUUACAGCUGAGUUUCUUUGAAAUAUUUAAGGGCCUAUUGUUAUCUCAGGCUGCAAUGAGCCUCAGUAACGUCAUUCAAUACUUUUCAUAGCUAAAAUUCUUAAUAAAGAGAGGUACAUUAGGCAGGUGUGUGGAUGAGCAGCAAUCAGUUAGCCACACGCAUCAGACAGACAUAGAAAAUAGGAGACAUCGGCUUUCUACACCUGAACGGUAUAACGGACAAUGCUCCCCUGUACUUGUCCCUUACUAAUAUGUAAUGAAUAAAUAAUAAAUGUGUGACCUGUGACCUGUUUCUUCCUGAGGGAGACAAUUGUCCUCAUAUUUAGUACUCAUGGUGACUCACCACUAUCAUAAACCAUACAAAGUAAUUGUGUGUAUGUGUGGUGACAGUUUCCCGUGGUAAUAAAGUGCAGGAAUGGUUCGGUUUGCCACACGUCGGUUUUAAACCAUGCCAUCUGGUACCACGGUACAGAAUUGUGUGUGUGUGUGUGUGUUUCAGAAAGAAGUCAGAAUAAUUGUGCAGUUUACCAACAUUUGCAUACCAGAUAGAAACAAAAUGAUACUCUGUGCAGCAAUAUGUGUGUUUUCUCUUGAGAUGUAUCUUUGGGAGAGAGAGAUAAACAAGGUGUUAUCCUCUGACCUUGCAGAGUAGCACCAAGAGGCAAAGCAACAUUGGUAGUUACUCAACAGUGUCAGAGGGGCAGUGAUUUACUUGUGUAUCUGUGUGUUCUGUUCACCCACCUGCUGUAUCUAUCCACAGGAACAACCGCAGCAGUUUCACCAACCCGAACACACAUUAAAAAGGGAGGGAGAGGAUGGGUAUACAAUUGAACAAAUGUAUAGAUUGUGUUCAUGAUGAAACUGAUAAUUAAACAUCUUUGAGGGAGCUCCAGUGUGAGCAGUCAAUAAAAGAUGCAGCUGCCCUGGGGCUGAUAAAAACAUUACUGCAGGGCAGGUGUAAUGAUGCGUAAUCUAUAUAUCCAUUUAUUCAUUAGGUUUGAUUAACAUGAACACACUCUGAGAAGACGGGCCAUGUACUGUACGCUACAUUUUCCGCCAUCUCAAGUGUCAGAUUUGAUAAAAAAAACAAAUAGAAUGCUUGACAUGACAGGCAGCGCAUUAUUUGUGAUAAGCUGCAUGUGGCUCGGUUGGGAGUAGGCCGGGCACGGUGGUGCUUCCAGACCGAUCCAUAUCACGCAGUACAGCAGACAUCUACGAUUCAGUUGUUCCACCACAGCUUGUUAUCUGCAAGCGGGGUCCACUUCUGCAAGCACAAACACACUGCUGGAAAUGUUAUAAGCCGGUAUGUCUGCCUUUAACGGUGCAGUGACCAGAAUACAGCUUCAGCAUCUCAUCACUGGCAUGAGAGGGAGGUUUUAUGGGGAAGUGUAGGUGCAGCGGAUGUAAAGCUUAGGCUUAAAAAGAACCCUGCAGGGACUAGAAUCCACAAAACUGUUUGUUCUCAUUAGUGUGUAUAUUACUAUCAUAUGUGACCAAGACUCAGUGCUGACCAACAAUUUCACUUCUUCCUUUUAACACUUUGUUUGUCAUUGCAAUCAGUUUUCCAAAACGGGUUUAGAUUAGUCUUUUUUUACAUGUAUUCUUUCUGUGUCACAGUUGGUUAUUGGACUUGAGGUACUGUGUUAAGGUCCCAUUUGUUAUUCACCCAUGCGCUUGUGGUGUAAUGGUUUCCUAUCCUACCGGCAACGCCACUUGGGAUAGGCCCAAGACCUUUUAAAGCACACAGGUUCGUUCCACCCAAUAGGCAAGGGCUCGUGGUUCCCAGUUUACAAAAACAUUUUUAUUCAAUAAAUAUACAUUGCCGUAAAAUCUAACAUUUCAUCACAAAAAUGAGAAAAGGAAACUAAUCGCUAAGGCCUAAUGGUGAGAAGCGCCGAUGAAGGGGAAGGAAAAUUAAUAGAACAAACUUAGAGAAAACCAAACCAGAGUUCACCCAGUGAUAGCACAACAAUCCAAUGGGACACGACACACGAGGAAGACCACCACCACCCACACCACCGGCGCCACCACCAGCCUACAGCCGCUAGGAAGGAUGACAAAAAAAGGUUACAAGAGGAUUAAACCAAAAAUUUACAACACAAAACAGAAAAAGAAAAUAAUUCACAUAAAAAUCAUCCUAAUGAAACAAUUCACGUAACCCAAACAAAAAGAAAAUAAGUGAAACAAACCAAAAGAAAUACAAACUAAAGGAUUAACUACUCAGUCGAGCUAGAAUCAACAACUACACAGGUCCAAGUCUGGUGCCGGCAAUAGACAUGCUAGGUACGUCGCGGCGGAGACCAAACUGCACUUAACAGCUUUUAACAGGGCAGACAGUUACAGACAAGGUUACAUGUAGCAGCAGCCAAAGUUGCAGGCAAAGCAGCAGUGGCCCCAAUCAACUGAGUGUUGUCACAUCAAUCACCACCUGUGGAUUUCGGCCAGCUGAUGAGCAUUCCCUGUCAAUGAACAUAAAGUUAGCAUUGCCAAACUACAUGUCAAAGCUUUUUGGAAGCUAGUUUUAAAGUCAUGUACCUGUUUCCCAGGUCAAACCUGCACAGGGAGAGGGAGGGAGAGAAAGACCCACACGGCAGGAAGACAUCUACCUGUGACCACAAUAACGUUAGCUACAGAAUAUCGUUCGGUCUAACACGGAGAGGACCCAAGAGCAAAAAGGGGCACGGAGUCCUCUGUCGCUACUCUGCGCGGACAGACACCUGACCCGGAAAUGAUGCAUCAGUGGGGCGCGAGAAGGGGGGCAGCCUUUAUAUACUACCGCCGCCCUAGUGGUCGGCAGGCGCAGUUAACUGUAGCAGGACAAUCCUAUUUCCAUACUGCUACACACUUAUCCAGGUAAUGGCUUUAACCAGCCAAACGUUUGAGCUGGUGUGUAAAUUACACAAUGGAAAUUGGGGGUGUAAAAGCCCGUUAUAGGUCAAGCUCUCACAGGGCCAACUGCCAGUUCAAUGUUCCUCAGAUACCUCCAGAGAAAAGUAUCCCUAGGGCUACCUAGUCUGAUAUCCGUAACUCCCAAAAUAGCUCCUUUAAAAGCGAAGGGGCCAUAGUUUUACCUCAGGUCCUCUGAGGAUGAGUGUCACGGGAUGCGUGGAAAGGCAGGACUCAAAUGCAGAGUUCUUCAACAAAAAGACUUUAAAUAGUCAUAAAGCGGGGAGCGGGGGCUGGAGGCGUCAGGGACAUCAGUCUCGGAGCGGGGACUGGAGGCGUCGGGGUCUGGAGUCUCGAAGCUGGGACUGGAGGCGUCGGGGUCUGGAGUCUCGGAGCGGGAACUGGAGGCGUCGGGGUCUGGAGUCUCGGAGCGGGGACUGCUUGUCACACCGUGACAAUAAGCACUAACACACUGUACAUACAACAAAAAUUAAUAUUAAUGUCUUAGAGGGUUGAAAGGUGGAUCAGCAGGUGAUUCUAGUUAUUUUAUCUGCGGUACACCAGCUCCCUCUUCACUUGCAAAAGUCUUUACGUUGCUUAAAACACCGCUGCUGCCAUCACACCAAUCUGUCUAUGGAUCUCAUGGGUGACCUCAACUCAACUCAUUACAAAGACCCAGGGACAACUGUAGUACACCACUUGGGGUGCCAAUUAUUUCCCAAAGGGGACAACCUAGAUUUAUUUUUACAGUAGCCUCAGUCUUAAAAUUGAUGAGUCUCAUGUAACUUCACACUUGGUUAUACCCGGCCCAGCUUUAGCUGAACGUCUGAGGUCAAUGGAGGCAACGGAAUUCCCUUAAAAAUUCACCAAACUUUCUCCACUCUUAGGUCACACCUGUCUAUGAAAGUCACAAAUGGUAAUAAGGUGCAAACUUUUGCUAAAUGAAGUCAUAGUUUUCAUCACAGUAAAAUACACAUUGGACAAUGUGCCCCAUAUGUGUGUACCCGUCUUAAACAUAUUGUGUGUGUUGUGUGGUUAUAGGUCUUCUCUAAAUCCCUCAAAACUCCCAUGACCUCUUCAGAGUUCAAAUAGUAAACAGGUGUUCUGAGCCUGCAUCGUUCCCCGUUGGGUCUGCUGCAUACUCUGUUCUUUGUUUAAUACCGGUGUAAUGUAUGUAGUGUAUGUCUUAAUGUAAGUUUGCAACUUUUCUAUUAGAUUUCUCUUCUGGGUACCUGGCACACAGGUGUGCGGUGUCUCAAAGGUUAAUUUAGCAGAUAAGGGUAUGUGUGUUGGAGAACUAAGCAAAUGCAGAGAACAUUCUGAACAAAGAUGAGGCAUAUAAUACAACUGAUUACAAACAGACAUUGAACCAGAGACUUCUGGUAAAAAACAGUUUACUCGAAGUUUCUUAGGCAAUGACAUACUAAAAGACCCGAAGAUCUUACCCUGACUGGUGUCAGCAACCCAUACAAAAAGUGACUAACUGAAUGACUAACUGACUCCAUGAAAGACACACUCAACAUUACAUACCAAACAGAGUAUGUUCACUGACAGUCCACCUUUAAAAUCCAGGGGAACGCAUAUGUCAACAACGAUAGAGAAUUUAUAAACUGCGAGUGAGGUGCUAUGAAUUUGUUUAAUUCAUAUCGAUAACCGAGUGGGACUUAUCUGGUUGUGGGGCGGUGAAGAUAACAUGGACACACACCCCUAAGAACCGUGCACAGACUAGACACACUAAAGAGAUGCUCAAAUGCAAGACAACACACAUUCACAACAACGCGAAGAUACAAAGUGCACACACAGAACAGAUACUUGUUUCCAUCCUCAGAAAGCAGGUAUGAGACAGCUUAGAGACAAAGUAUCCUGUCCAAAUGCUAAGACAUAGAUAUAGAUAGGUCAAGUCGCUUUAUUGGCUCAUGUCUUAUUUGUGGGCACCAUAGACUCAGACCUACAUAUACAGUAGUGUGGCCAUGCUGCUGCACAGAGGCAGUCUUUGGUUAUGAAGUGACACCGAUGCUGUCGAUGCAAUCUUCUAUUC